UACUUGUACCAACUGGAUGAGCAGCGAACGGGUGAGUAACGCGUGGGGAAUCUGCCUUUGAGCGGGGGACAACAUUUGGAAACGAAUGCUAAUACCACAUAAAAACUUUAAACACAAGUUUUAAGUUUGAAAGAUGCAAUUGCAUCACUCAAAGAUGAUCCCGCGUUGUAUUAGCUAGUUGGUGAGGUAAAGGCUCACCAAGGCGAUGAUACAUAGCCGACCUGAGAGGGUGAUCGGCCACAUUGGGACUGAGACACGGCCCAAACUCCUACGGGAGGCAGCAGUAGGGAAUCUUCGGCAAUGGACGAAAGUCUGACCGAGCAACGCCGCGUGAGUGAAGAAGGUUUUCGGAUCGUAAAACUCUGUUGGUAGAGAAGAACGUUGGUGAGAGUGGAAAGCUCAUCAAGUGACGGUAACUACCCAGAAAGGGACGGCUAACUACGUGCCAGCAGCCGCGGUAAUACGUAGGUCCCGAGCGUUGUCCGGAUUUAUUGGGCGUAAAGCGAGCGCAGGUGGUUUAUUAAGUCUGGUGUAAAAGGCAGUGGCUCAACCAUUGUAUGCAUUGGAAACUGGUAGACUUGAGUGCAGGAGAGGAGAGUGGAAUUCCAUGUGUAGCGGUGAAAUGCGUAGAUAUAUGGAGGAACACCGGUGGCGAAAGCGGCUCUCUGGCCUGUAACUGACACUGANGCUCGAAAGCGUGGGGAGCAAACANGAUUAGAUACCCUGGUAGUCCACGCCGUAAACGAUGANUGCUAGAUGUAGGGAGCUAUAAGUUCUCUGUAUCNCANCUAACGCAAUAANCACUCCGCCUGGGGAGUAC
This 820-nucleotide ribosomal RNA is filed under the name Lactococcus sp. RNAcentral describes it as "bacterial SSU rRNA". It matches the Rfam family "Bacterial small subunit ribosomal RNA", at positions 77 to 883 of the family's 1533-position model. The record is from RNAcentral. Lineage: Bacteria; Bacillati; Bacillota; Bacilli; Lactobacillales; Streptococcaceae.